Molecule: long non-coding RNA, 3288 nt
Organism: Candoia aspera
Lineage: Eukaryota; Metazoa; Chordata; Lepidosauria; Squamata; Candoiidae
Exons: 2
Source: RefSeq, a predicted model, not a curated record
UGUAAGGGACAGAGGGCUGUACAAUUUGGAAACUGAAGAAGUGAAGCCUUCCACUUGUUGACACACUGCAUCAUGGGGUGCUGCCAGUGUUCUUAGAGAAGUUUGUAUUUCAGAGAGAAGCACAUUGACUGGUUUAAAAAUCUAGCCAAGUAGCUAAGUCAGCUAUGAUUUCUUUGAAAUGGUGCUCAGAUAAAAUAUUAGAAAAUAUUCUUUACUGUAUUAAUCCAGACUUCAAAUAUAGUGUUAACCAAAACUCUGUGUAUGUGUGUAUAACCAAGAACUGCUUAGCAGUAAAUAAUGCAGAGUGUUUGGUACUGUUUGGACUGAUUUUUCUUCUUUGCUUUCCUUCUUUCUAUUUAAGCCUGAGAGGUUUCCUGAGGAAUGAUCAGGAUGACCACUCUGUAGCUUGAUUCCACAGAUGAAAUUAGCACAAGUUCCUUCUGCCUCUACUUUUUAUCCUAUUUAUCCUCAGGUUCUUUAAAACUGUCACCUAUUUAAAGAAAAGCUUGUAGCAUCUUAGGUAGCAGAAAUAUUGUAAUAUCAAGAUAAUAUUAAAUCUUGGAAUUUCUAUGCAUUUUUGACAGCGUUGCUUGCAUUUCAUAUAGGCAUGUCUAAGCUUUUCAUCAUCUUGCUAGUUCAAAUUCUGUAUCAAUAUUCUGAUGCUGAAUCCUAGAAUAAACAGUAUGGAAAAAUAUGGGACAUGGCACUACUCUUAAGAAUAAAUUAUUAACCUAGUUUUAGGAUUCUGUGUAACUAGUGGAUUGAUAUCAAUUCAUUUAUUUAUAGUCCAACGGCUACAUGCUAUAAUAUAGAUGGACUAUAUAGCUUCCUAGGCAGAUAAAAUUUCACAGGUGUAUUUAGUUGCUAAUUUUAGUUGCCAGAUGUCAGUAUUCCUCAUUUACAGAUUCAGGAAUGUGUUCACAAGUGCUGUGAACCUAAAUUUGAGCCACUAAGCCAGAAAGAACUUUGUGGAUCUAGGUUUCUUCCAUUAAGUGGGGAGCUGGAUGGUCUAUAGGACCACAGUCCUCUGUUCUGUGGCCACUGCUUCUGUUUACUUCUGCCUGAAUCUAACCUGCUGGUGGAACAGGUUUUAUAGAAUCAAUUCUUGGAACCUACAGGGGCAAACUGUGUUCAGUGUCACUUUUCUCCCUUUAGAUUCUAUAAGGAGCAGUCUGGAAAGGAGAGCUUGUCUGUGUACUUAGGUACAAUGUUUUCUCAAACAGCCCAUUUAUAUAUAUUAUGAAGAGGCUCUUUAUUGCUCAGCUUGAUUUACCAGGGGAGAAGGGCAGCUGUCUAGCAGUUGCUUAAGACUUUUCCCCAUCCUGGGCAGGGUUUUUAGAGAAGUUGAAUUCCAUUCUUGAAGUCUGCAUCUUCACCUCCUCCUUUCAUGCUUUUGACAAACAUAAUGAAGGAAAAAUAUUUACCUUCAGUGGCCCAUAUUGGUCACAUGGCCCAUUUAAGAUGGGCUUUAAAAGGUAGAUAAUCUGCAGGCUGAAUGUUCCUUCCUCCAUCACUGAGAUCACAUUGCCUUCUGGUAGCAAAAUGAUCAAAUUACAGUGACAAAGUUAUUUCUUCCUUUAAAAUGAAAAUGGGAUAGGGAAGCUCACUUCCAUUCUUAAGGCUACCCCAAACCCUUAAAAAGCCGGCCAAAAUCAUAAGCGGGGGAUGCAAAGUUUGCAGCUUCCCCAAAUAUUGCCCACCUCUGCUUUCAAAACGGCAUCAAAGAAUCACAGGGAUAGAUAACAUUUAAUGAUUAAUAAUACCUUUAAAAUCUGAGCUGUCUUUUAUGAAGGCAGCUCAAAGUUGAUGAACAAUCAGUCUAUAUAAACAGCUUUUGAUUUUAAGUAUCUAACUCCCUUUGGGAUUAUUUAAUGAUGGAAAUUUAGGCUAGAAAUUUUAUAAAGAAAGUAGUAAGACAUAGUUUGCUUAGAUUAAAGGUAAUUAACAAUAUUUGGAAUGCCAGUUUGAUACUAUUUAAAAUUGAUAGAUCAUAUAGAUAAAGCAUUGUUUACUAAAAUGUUUAACAGCUAAACCAUUUAAAUAAUAAAUAGUUCUGGAAUGACCUUCUGAAUUUAUUUCUACAUGCUUCAGAGAGGUAGCCUGAUUGAAAGAGAUACAUAUUUAACUCUAGAAUAGGUCGUAAUUUAAACUAUAACAGGGUCCUGGUUUUUCCUGGGAACUGGAGUUUGCAGCUCCACAGGGAAAACCAAUUGAUUUGUGACAAUCGGAGAUAGUUACCAAGGGUGCAUAGCUGAAGUAUCCUUCAGCUCAUAUUUGUGUAGAGCAGUGUUGUUGCAAGGUUACAACUUUUGGUGUAUUUCUGAUUCAAUAAACAAAGAUGUUGUCUUUAGAUAUCUUGUCAGCUUAAAUAUCCAUCUGCCUAAUUCAGGACUUAAUACACUGAGGUAUUCAAUACCAACUGAGUUUGUAGCCACUGCCAUCCUCUUAGAAUAGAAAAUGCUUCACAUCAGUGAAACAGCUGAUGGCAGUAGAUUCAUUUUUUGAUACAGCCUAAAGGUUGGAUUUUAAACCAUUUUCUAUCACUAUGACUGAGAGGAUUUAGUCCUAAAUAACAGAUAAAUGAAAGGGGACUACUGCCAUUGAUCAAGUUUGCUAUGGACAUACUAGGACUUAAAUAAAACAGUUUUAACUGACCAGUUCUGUUGAGGUUUAAAAGGCUCAGGACUUAAUCCUGGAAGGUGUAAAGCAUGCCCAACUAAAAUCUGGGUUUAUUAAGGGCUGCAGCUUGAAGUCUGGGAAAACAAAUAUGCUGUUUCAGAUAUUAGAUUUGGCUUACAAAUUUCAACAUCUUUUAGGAGGAAAUGAUUAAAAGAGGCCACAAUCCAGCACAGAAUCCGUGUGCUUAAGAAUGUCCCCUUAUGUAUUGGAAAGUGUUGGAAGUGUAUUAGGCUUCUCAUUUACAAGCAGGUAUCAACAUAAAUCUAGUUAUGUUGCUGAAUAAUCAUUGUUUUAAUAAAUACAUUACAAGUCCACUGAUCAUAAUGCAGAGUUGCUGGCAUCUUUCUAUGCACUCAAAGAAAUAUUUUUAUAUUGUAUAACUUCUGCAGUUAUAACAGAUGAUUUUAUUAGCUUUGCUAACCAAAUAUUAAUCUAACCUAUUGAGUAGUUCUUGCUUGACAUCAGUGGAUAUAAAGGAUUCAGGACUUCCUGCAUUGUUACAUAAAUAACUUGGUUAAAAUAAAGAAUUACCUACAUGUUUUAGGUCUAAUAUUAUUUCUUAUGGAUUGUAUCCUUUUUAUAGUUAAUAAAACGUUAUUGUCCAUAAAA